AAAAACAAAAACUCAAGAGGCUCUGUUUUCCCAUGUUCAGUUUGUGGUGGGAAAGUAAUUAACAAAGAGGGGGACGAUGGGAAGAAGUAGGAGUCCAACAAAUUUAACACAGUACUGGUGAGGCUCAUCAUCAUCUUCAUCAUAAUUUCAGUUUCAGGCUUUCAGUCUGCCCUGCAUCUGCAGGUUAUGGGAAAACAUGCUUCGGAAGACUGGAGAUCUCGCAGCGAGCACCGCACGAUGGGCUCCAAUGCUUCCAUCAGAAGCAUUGAUUAUGAUGUCUGUGUGGAUGCUUUCAGAUAACAUUCGACCAAGGGAUGAAAGAGCUGUGACAGAUGAUUGCUUUUGUGCAAAUCCCUCGGACCAGAUGGAACAAGGCUCUCCACCCUGCUUUCAACAAGAUGAAUCAAAUUCUUAGAAUAUGGACAAGGAAUCAACAUCAGCAGUGCUCUUUCCCCUCGGCCCCUCCCCAACCAGAAAAAAUAAAAGAAAAAAGAAUCCCCAAUUUUCUUUGCUCUAUUUUUUUGCAAGGGAUUUGAUCCACAGAAAAUUGUGCCGUUAAUACUAUAGUGUGCGUAUGCCGGCUAAGUUUCUCAUGGACAGCGAAAGUAAAUAGAAGCAUACGUUUGGAGAGGCAGUCUUCAAGUCAAGGAAUUCAAUGUCGAUGAUGAAUUUCCCAGUCAGUGGAACCUCAAUUGCCCAAACAAAGUCAUCAUUGUUCUUGA
This is a long non-coding RNA of Malania oleifera, 722 nucleotides long. RefSeq lists it as uncharacterized. The transcript is spliced from 2 exons. NCBI's taxonomy places the organism in Eukaryota, Viridiplantae, Streptophyta, Magnoliopsida, Santalales, Ximeniaceae. The record is from RefSeq and is a predicted model, not a curated record.